Molecule: long non-coding RNA, 117 nt
Organism: Thalassophryne amazonica
Lineage: Eukaryota; Metazoa; Chordata; Actinopteri; Batrachoidiformes; Batrachoididae
Exons: 3
Source: RefSeq, a predicted model, not a curated record
ACCGUGCUGCUAUGAUGGCGCACGAUCAAACUAGUUUCAAGCCGUAGUCACUAUGAAUACCCCGUUUAAAGAGGUUCAAACAUGAUUGAAGCUGUUAUGACUAUGAAUACCUGGAAU